This is a long non-coding RNA of Argiope bruennichi, 337 nucleotides long. RefSeq lists it as uncharacterized. The record is from RefSeq and is a predicted model, not a curated record. Lineage: Eukaryota; Metazoa; Arthropoda; Arachnida; Araneae; Araneidae. The transcript is spliced from 3 exons.
AUUAAGAUUUAUAAAUAUGUAAAUAGUUUAUACAUUUCUUUUGAAUACUUAUUUCUUGCAUUUCUGUAACACAUAUUUUAGGAAUGGAUUAAAGAAUAUGAACAAAGAUCGGAAACAGUUUGGCGUGUUCAGAGAACACAUAAAUCAACUGGACGCCUUAAUGUUUAUAAAGGUGACUUUAGAUGCCAGCACAAUGUGCAACAGGUAUCAAAACAUGUGAAAGAAAGUAAAAAUACUGGAUGCCCUGCAGUUCUUAAAAUUACUAUUCAAAGGUAUUUUUCACUGCCAAAACACAAAGAUUCACUCCCAGAAGUUAUAGAGUUUCCUGCAUUAUGUG